This 368-nucleotide ribosomal RNA is filed under the name uncultured bacterium. RNAcentral's name for it is "bacterial SSU rRNA". It matches the Rfam family "Bacterial small subunit ribosomal RNA", at positions 438 to 793 of the family's 1533-position model. The record is from RNAcentral.
GUUAAAGAAGAACACGUAUGAGAGUAACUGUUCAUACGUUGACGGUAUUUAACCAGAAAGUCCACGGCUAACUACGUGCCAGCAGCCGCGGUAAUACGUAGGUGGCAAGCGUUAUCCGGAUUUAUUGGGCGUAAAGAGAGUGCAGGCGGUUUUCUAAGUCUGAUGUGAAAAGCCUUCGGCUUAACCCGGAGAAGUGCAUCGGAAACUGGAUAACUUGAGUGCAGAAGAGGGUAGUGGAACUCCAUGUGUAGCGGUGGAAUGCGUAGAUAUAUGGAAGAACACCAGUGGCGAAGGCGGCUACCUGGUCUGCAACUGACGCUGAGACUCGAAAGCAUGGGUACGCGAACAGGAUUAGAUACCCCUGGUAG